CCGGAGUUGUGUAUCGCUGUCUCAGUGGUUCCCACUGUUUCUAACCACCAGGUGGCCACAGAGUGCAUGUGCUAUGAGGGACCCGUCCGACAUAUACCCUCCCAGAAGAGCAGGAAAGGGGGUUCAUAAAGAUGUUCUUCUGAUGGGGAGUGUCCUAUAAGGCCACCUUCACAUGAGAAAGCACCUCUUCAAAGACACACACCAGAGACUGUCUCUUCCCGGACUGCAAACUGAUCUCACCAAUAAAAUUCUACCUACUAUGUAGCCACCCUGGAGGCCUUUGAGAGGACGGUCAGAUGGUCAGAGAUAAGUUGCUCUGAAUCCUGCUCCCAGGGCCAAAAACAUCGACCUAGAAGGAAGGGGCUUAAGCACAACAUAUGAUUUAAAGAGUUUGUUUGAGCCAGUGUGAGGAUAGUUGCCCAGAAGGCUCAGAGCCAAGCAAUCUUGGAUAUGGGUUCUGUUUGGCCUUUGUUACAAGCAGGUUUGUAAAGACCAAAAAGGGAGACAGGGAGUUGGCUGGUAGAAAGUUGCUUGUCAGGAACUCCCAGUGGUUUACAGAAAUAACAUUGAUUAGGGAUUAGCUAUACAUUGUUCAGCUACAGGGAAUGAGAGAUGGUGUCCAGUGCACGUGAUUAGGUUACUUUAUAGCUAACUGUGGCAAUAGCAAGCAGUUUCAGUGGAUGAAUACAUAGCUCAAAAGUGGGGAAGUGGCCGGUGGUGGUCAUAAUUCACAUUUUGGUGGGCCAAGUUGGGCAGAUCACCUUAGGUUAGGAGUUUGAGACCAGCCUGGCCAACAUGACGAAACCCUGUAUCUACUAAAAAUACAAAAAAAAAAAAAAAAAAAUAGGGGAGCAUCGUGGUUCGCGACUUCAGUCCCAGCAACUCGGGAGGCUAUGGCAGGAGAAUUGCUUGAACCUGACUGGAGGAGGUUGCAGUGGGCCAAGAUCCUGCCACUGCACUCCAGCCUGGGCAACAGAGUGAGACUCCAUUUCAAUACAAUAAAAAAAAUUUUUUUAACUUAAAAGAUUUUAGAAAGCAGGAAGUAGGAUGUGGUUGCUGUCUCAUUUUAAUGCCUAGCUCUGGGCAUGCUAAGUUGAAAGCACUCAUUUUCUUCACAUGAAAAAGUUCUUUUCUUUUCUUUUUUUUUUUAGAGACACACUCUCACUUACUGUGCCACCCAUAAAGUGAAGUGGCAUCAUCUCUGCUCACUGCAACCUCCACCUCCAGGGAUCAAGCGAUUCUCAAGCCUCAGCCUCCCAAGUAGCUGGGAUUACAGGUGCCAGCCACCAUGCCUGGCUUAUUUUUGUAUUUUAGUAGAGAUGGGGUUUCACCAUGUUGGCCAGGCUGGUCUCGAACUCCUGACCUCAGAUGAUCCACCUGCCUCGGCCUCCCAAAGUGCUACGAUUACAGGCGUGAGCCACCAUGCCCAGCCAAUACCAUUAAUUUAAUCUACAGCUAAAUCUAUUAUUUUUUCAUGUUACAAAUUCAACAAGAAAAUUUUUCCCUAAUGAAACAUCACAUUUAAAGCAUAAGUAGAAUUAAAAAAUGUAAUAGACAGUGUCUUGCUGUGUCAUCCAGGUGAGAGUGCACUGGUGCAACCACAGCUGACCAACCUGGAACUCUGGGCUCAGGCAGUCCUCCCAGCUCAGCCCGCCUUUUAACUUCUUAGAGAUGGCAUCUUGCCCUGUUGCCCAGGCUGGUCUCCAACUCCUUGCCUAAAGCAAUCCUCCCACAUCAGCCUCCUGAUUUUCUGGGAUUACAGGUGUGAGUCAACCAGCCUGGCAUUGCAGGAAAAAAAAAAAGUCAAGAAAUUAUUCUUCAUUUUCUUUUAUUUUGAGUUGAGGUCUUACUCUGUCACCCAGGCUGGAGUGCAGUGGUACAAUUAUAGUUCACUGCAGCCUGGAUCUCCUGGGCUCAAGCGAUCCUCCUGCCUCAGCCUCCCAAGCAGCUGGGACUACCAAUGUGAGCCACUGUGCUGGCUAGUUUUUUAAAAUCAGCUCAUUUUUAAAUUUGUAGAGACAGGGGUCUCACCAUAUUUCCCAGGCUGGUAUCAAACUCCUGACUUCAAUCCUUCUUCUCUCCUCAGCUGCCUAAAAUGCUAAGAUUACAGGUGUGAGCCACCACACCCUGCUUAAUUUCCAUAUUUUAAUUUUAUAUACGUAAUUAUUACUGUCCUUAAGAUAAUUGGGGCAGUAAUCUCUUUAAAGUUUUAGAGACUUAAUUUAUCUAUUCACUCCACUGGAAGAGUAUGCCAAUUGGUUUCAUAAGAAAAUAUAUUUAUAAAUCAGAAAAUUUCUUUCCACCAAUCUAGGGGGCAUUCGAAAGCAAAUAAUUGUGUUAAGUAACAUCGUUUAAAGUGAAAACAGAUGCAAUGGUAUUUAUUAACAAGGCUUAUCAGUGAGCGAAACAAACUGAAAAAAGGAACAUCAUUAGAUCCUUGGAAAACCCUCAGUGCUGAAAAUCUGAGUGAUUCUGUGAUACCCUUUUGAGUCUGGCAGGGCAUUCUCUUUCCCCAGCAUAUAAAAGUGAGUAAAUCAUUUCUUUUCAUCCAUUUUCAUUAAGAGCUGAACUUCCUUGAUGUUCUGGAGAUUAUUAAAUUUGAUUUGUGGCCAGGCGCAGUGGCUUACGCCUGUAAUCCUAGCACUUUGGGAGGCCAAGGUGGGCAGAUCACUUGAGUUCAGGAGUUCGAGGCCAGCCUGGCCAACAUGGCCAAACGCCAUCUCUACUAAAAAUACAAAAAUUAGCCAGGCAUGGUGUCACACGCCUGUAAUCCCAGCUACUCAGGAGGCUGACGCACAAGAAUCACUUGAACCCGGGAGGCCAAGGCUGCAGUGAGCCAAGAUUGUGCCACUGCAUUCCAGCCUUGGUGACAGAGCGCGACUCUGUCUUAAGCAAAAAAAAUUUUUGAUUUGUAUAGUUGUGAGAAGUGCUUAUGUUGCUGACUCCAUUGCUUAUUUGUGAUCAUAUAAAUCUCUUUUCCCCUUUCUGUAGUGUGAUUUAAACUUAAUCCUUAAAGGACAUGUGUUUCAGCUGGUUAGAGGUUUUUAGCUACUAGAAACCUGAGUAUACGAAUCAAAGAAAACUGCUCCUUACCUGCCACAGACUUAGUUUUCUUUCUGUACUAAGAUUUCUUUCAGGUAUAGUAAUUUGUUAAAGCCAAGAGCUCCUAUGGAAUGAAGUUAGGUGGCGGGAGUGGGUGGGGCAUUGAGUAGUAAGAUCGUCCUUAUAAUAGAGAUGCCGCUCUUGCAGAUAUUGACAGCUAUCGGGCCCAAAAAAUUGUUACCAAACAUUGGAAAGACAAGAUAUGAGCAAAUUCUGAUUGCUGCAGUCUCAAAUAUCAAGAAAUACCAUUAUCCUCAGGACAAUGAAUAGACAAUCAAAAAAGACUCACAGACUAGAUUAGCUGUCAUGUAUCACCAAACACCUUGUCAAACACCACCCAACAGAGAUUGUCCCCAGAAAUUCAUUUCAUAACAUCAAAACCAGAAACCCACACUGAUGCCACUGAUGGCAGAAAACAAUGAUGCAAGAAAGAGAGAGAGGGAGAUAGAGAAAGGAAGGACUUGCCCAAUGACCAUACUUAGUAUAUAAAAGCAAAACAGCUCAAUUUCUGCUCAUGAGAACAAGAACUGAGGGAACAAGAACCAGUGGCUCUAAGGAUCCAGGUCUGCACCAGGGGCCUGUUAGGUGCAGGAUUCUGUUGGCUCCAAUGAUGGGUGUCAGAUGGAUUAAUUUUUAUGGACAUAGCCUCUGAAAGAAAUCAGUCGAGGAAUAAUACAGAGACACUUGUCUGCAUGCUCAUUCUCCAUCAAUAUAGAAGAGGAACUGGCAUUAGAUUGUGUUCAUCAAAUAAAAGUAAAAUCAACAUUUAUAAAGAAAAGAGGAAAGGGGAGGAGAAAAAAAUGACUGGGACCAUUGUGAUUUUGCUCCCUUUGGAUAAGCAACUUGGCAGAAAGCUAUCAAAGAGGUCACUAUGACCUGUCUUCUCCGGACCAGUGUGACUUGGUCACCACAGCAAACAAUUACAGGCUGGGCACAGUGGCUCAUGCCUGUAAUAUCGACACUUUGGGAGGCGGCGUGGGCGGAUCACUUGAGCUCGCAAGUUGGAGAGUAGCCUGGGCAACAUGAUGUAACUCUGUCUGUACAAAAAAUACAAAAUUUAGCCAGGCAUGGUGGUGUAUGCUAGUAGUCCCAGCUACUCAGGAGGCUGAGGUGGGAGGAUCACCUGAGCCUGGGAAGGUUCAGGCUUCAGUGAACCAUGAUUACACCACUGCACUCCAGCCUGGAUGACAGAGUAAGACCAUGUCUCUAAAAUAAAUUAAGUUUGAAAAAGAAACAGGGCCAGGCACGGUGGCUCACACAUAUAAUCCCAGCACUCUGGGAGGCCAAGAUGGGAGUAUCACUUGAGCUCAGGAGUUCGAGACCAGCCUGGGCAACAUAGUGAGACCUCAUCUCUAAA
Molecule: long non-coding RNA, 4459 nt
Filed under: Homo sapiens (human)
Lineage: Eukaryota; Metazoa; Chordata; Mammalia; Primates; Hominidae
Description: HSALNT0295386
Source: RNAcentral